CAUGGAUUCUAAAGCCUGAUAUAUUGGCUCCAGGAGUUGAUAUCUUGGGGGCAUGGGUUCCCAACAGGCCUAUAGCUACAAUUCGUGAUAUUGGUAAGCUACUCACUGAAUAUGCUCUCGAAUCCGGCACAUCAAUGUCUUGCCCUCAUGCAGCUGGUAUAGCCACGCUGCUUAAAGCCACCCAUCAUGAGUGGAGUUCAGCUGCCAUCCGUUCAGCAAUGAUGACAACAGCUGAUGUUCUUGAUAAUGCUUAUGAUAUGAUCGCGGACAUAUCAACCGGAGUUGCUGGAACUCCUCUUGAUUUCGGUGCAGGGCAUAUAAAUCCCAAUAAGGCCAUGGAUCCAGGACUUGUGUAUGAUAUUGAGGUCCAGGACUAUAUCAACUACUUGUGUGCGUUGAACUACACAAGUCAACAGAUUAGAGUUCUCACAGGGACAUCAAAUUUUACAUGUGAGCAUGGCAAUCUGGACCUAAACUAUCCAUCCUUUAUAAUCAUCUUGAACAACACCAACACUGCAAGCUUCACAUUCAAGAGGGUAUUGACAAAUGUAGCUGUUACGAGGUCUGUAUAUACUGCUGUAGUGAAGGCUCCAGCGGGUAUGACGGUGGCUGUGCAACCAGUAACAUUAUCCUUCGAUGAAAAGCAUAGUAAAGCCGAGUUCAAUUUGACAGUGAACAUUAAUCUGGGGAACGAUGUCAGUCCAAAACGUAACUAUCUUGGAAAUUUUGGGUAUUUGACAUGGUUUGAAGUUAACGGGAAGCAUCAGGUGAGAAGCCCCAUUGUCUCUGCAUUUUCUGUUUCUAAUGGGCAAUGAUAAAUUCACUUUAUUUGGAUUGGAUAACAAGUCAAGUAGCUAAAUGUUGAGAGCAUGUAGCUUCAAGGAAUGAGUCGUAUGGAGUAGUAAAGUUCAGGAUUCUUUACUUAUUUGCACAAAUCACGUCCAUGCAUUUACUAAGGUACAAGUUAAGAUGAGUAAAGAAUCCUUGUCUAUGAAAUUAAACUGGUGUUGUUUUUUUUAAUUAGACCCACCUCUUUUUAUUCUGUACUUUUCUGAAAUGGAAAAUUAACACAAUAGAAAAUCAAAGAAUAAAUAAAUAUAUAAAUGUAGGAUAUAAUCAGUUCAUUCACAAAUUCAGUAGCGUUAUUUUACCAUCUAUUAGUGUUAGAAGAUAUGUUUAGGACUGCUGAUGUGGAAUCAUACAUGUUGCUUAGUUGAAAGUUUCAACCUGUUCCUAUUUUUCUGGUGUUGGUUAUUUCUUUUGUUGUUCUUGUUGUGAUCGUGGCACAAUCUUUGGACCAUGAUUCUAGUGGGCUGUUAUUUGGCUUUGGUGUGUUAUUUAAGCUUUAAAUUGUAAUGUUUUUUAGUUAAUGAAUUGAGUGAAGUUCUCUUGACAAUUAACGUGGCUCUUAUUUCCUUCUGUAAACUUUGUUUUCUUUUCUUAUUCGAGUAACAACAAUUAGCAACUAGGAAUCUUGGGGAAAAAAAAUACUUAUCUUGAUACAGAAGCAGAAGCCCCAUUGUUUAAUAUCACACCAAUGGAAUAAAAUGGGACUGUAGAAAAGAGAUUUAUCAGCUAAUUUCUGGUUAUUUGAUCUUGUCAUUCUGCUUCCGGUUUCUCUUAUGAUUUUCUGGCUAUUAUUUUCCAUGGAAGCCGCGAAAUCGAGCAUCAACAAGAUAGUUACGUUUUGGACUAGCGACAAUGGAAGAUGUGCACAUAUACAUAUAUCGGCCGUUGGCGUUGCAGCGCCCAGAGGUUAAUAGCAAGCGUCGCAGGCUAGCAUGACACCGGACACAAUAGAUGAGAAAACACAAUGUCACACACCCAAGAAAUCAGAAGCUCACCACCACAGCAAACAACAAAAGGAUACAGAAAAAAAUUCACCACCUAAAGUUGUUAAGCUAAAGAUACAGGGCUUAAAAUACUCACCACUCAAUGGAAUCCACCAAAGAGAUACAGAAUUUGAUAAUAACUCAAAGUUCAUCCAAUCCCCAAAAUUAAUUUCUAUAUUUUGGUUACAACUACAUAAGCUUAAAUAAUUUUCUUGGAACAAUCCUCCAACCAUAGAUAUACUACAAAGAAGCCCUUCAAAUGACUUGACUUAAAAGACCAACAUUAAAGCUAGACAUUAAUAAAACAUUGGUAUGCUUAAAACACAGCAAAGAGCAUUAAAAAAAAGUCUCAAGUCCAGAAAUAUUCUUCUUGACUCAAAACUGAACAGCCUGCACUUAACUGAUCAUAACUUACUGUAGAAAGCUCCAAAUUUAGAUUAGUAAAAUUCAUUGGAAAGCUAACAGAAAUAUCUUUCCAAUGAUGUAUGGCUCGAAAAUUAAUUCGAUCUCAUGCAGUACAGUUUAAUUUCCAAAGAUGCCCCUUCUGCACAGAAAUUCUGCUCACUUGAUUAAUGUAAGAACUUGAACUGCACUUGGUAUAACUUGAAUACCAAAUAUUUCAAACACCCCUGUGUUAUAGCAGCUCUUCACUUAAUGUUGACAGUAAUUGGUAAGGAUGUUCUGUUUAUUUUCUCUUUCGCCAAGUCAACAAAACACUUUUAUCAUAAGGUUAAUUUUAAGAAAAAUAUGUCUAAUUGCACCUUGGAGCUGAUUAUGAGAGUGAUGUUGCCGGCAAAGCAGUCUUGUAUAUUUUAAAGCAUGCAAAAAAUGAAUCAAAUUUCCAUGUAUGAAUUAAUUAAUUUUCUUAUGCGCUGCAGUUUAGACAAAGUUUUGGGUUUCUUUGUUGGGGCUUUGUCUUUUUUGGUCUAUAAUGUGUAUUGUUGUUCUGUGUUUUCAUUAAAUUAUUGUUGGAUAGGACUAAUGUUUGCUUUGACAUAAACAGAAGCAGAUUUUACAAUUACGCUAUUACGAAUUUUUUAAACCUGAAAUUGCAACCCAAACUGUAAUUGAGUAUGACACGAACCCGAACCGAAUUUGAAGCUGAAUUGAACGCAACCGAACUUGAAACUGAGCCUAACUAAAUCGAAAUAAAUUCUCUAACCCAAACGGGUAGCAAUUCGUAAAAUCGAACUGAAAAUUGAAAUGCCCACCCCUAUCGCUGGGUUUAUGAAACAUUAUGAUAAUAACUGAUUGCUUUGAAUUGUUCUAGUGUGUAAAGCAUUUUCAUUUACUUGUUGGAUAUUAAGAAAUAAUUAUGGUUUGUUUUUUUCUGACAUUUAUUAGCCCUUGCUUCAAUUGAUGUUUGCUUGAAUAGGUGGAGUUUUGACAACGAAAGAAGCAAGGCAGAUGCAAAUGCAAUAAAUCUAUGAUGGACUUGCAUCGAGCAACGGAAUUUCCUGCACUCUUUUAGUUUUUUAAUAAUGGUUGUUGUAAAUGGAAUUAGGAACCUGACCCGAAAUUAGUAACAAAAACUGUUCUGCAACCCAGACCGUGUUUGACCCCGAAUUAACAACCCGAAACUGAACAGAAUUACGAACCUGAAUCGAACCAAAAUAAAUUUUCAACCCGAAUUGAAUAUUGAUAUCAAUUAACAUUUGAAGCAAGUAAAUUUUAGGUUUUUUUUUUAAUUUUUUAGGAUCUUCUUGAUUAUUUCUGCUGUACGGCCAAGGCGGAUGUACGGUACAGCAGAUAAGAGCUUCUUGUCGAAGCAUCAUCAUUUUUCUUUUUUGAUGAUAAGAUUUCGACGUGUUUUCACAUUUCUAACAGGUUCAACCAAUUUGACUCCUUACUCUGCAACUUUGUUGAGUGGAUUUCUUGCUGUGAUAUCUGUAAAUAUAGUUAUUGCAUUUUACAUUUAUAUGGCAAAUGAGGGAACCUUCAGACAAACGUGAGCCAGAUCCUAAAUUUCUUGCCGAGGCCAAAGCUAGUGUAACCCAGUCUACCGGUAAAGCUGAGGUUUCUUCUGAAUCCCUCAAGAAAGAAGUGUAGGAUACCAAAGCCUUGGCCAUUUCACCUUGAGAAAAUUUUCAACUGAAAACGUGCGACCAGGGCCCAUUGUUGAUUGGAUAAAGUUGAAAUAUGCUUGGUUGUCUAUGUUUCUAUAUUGUCAUGUCAGACUUUCAGUGUCAACACUACAAUUUUGUGAGAUGCAUGCAUGAUUUUGUGGUGAUAACUUAAUUCUUUUUUCUUUUGGGAACAGAACUUUAAUGUGGAUGAAGUGUCAGGGGAGGUGGAAUACUCGUAUAAUAAUAAUAACCUCAUAUGGUGCAAUUAUUGGAAACCAGCCAUGAUUAACGGAUGAGGAUACUCUUCUAUCACUUUAUUAGCUUCAAAAGUGCCUGCAGCCCACACUUUUUUUUUGUUUCAACUUAGAACAAUUUUUUUUAAAAAAAAUUAAAUGUGUUGAUGAGCUCUUGGUUCUAUUCGAUCUUGUGAAAAAUGGUAAUGUAAUGUUGGUCUUGAACCUUCAGUAAUGAAGAUUUAUUCGGGUGAUUGAUAGUUGAACUAUUACAAUUUGAUCAUUUGCAAUGGUUAGAAAAUUUGAGGUUCCAUUUUUGUUUAUCAAGGUUGGGAAAUGGUUUUUCAUUAUAAAUAUUUAAAACAAAUAAAUUGAAUAGUACAACUUCUCAGAGGUUCUCACUACAUGAAUUAUCCAAGAUUAUUCCCUCAAUGCUGCUAUAAUUAAGCUUGCCCCAAUCAUUAUACAUCUUUACAAAAUUUUAAAGAGAUCUAACGGAUCUUUUUUCCUCAAAUUCCUCUUUGGCCUUAUUCUAUCUUCCCCACUCUCCCCGUUCUACUUUUGGAAGACCAUGCGUUAUAUCACCAGGUCUCGAUUAUGGAAUUCAUGAAAUCCUAAUCAUUGCAAGUAACUUAUAAUGCAUGUUUCUGAUUCAUCCUUGGAGAAUUAUUAGAUAACCAAAAUUUUAAUGCAACUUUAAGCAUCAUUUGUUUAUUUUUAUGGUCAAUGGAAUAUUCAAUAAAUAAAUGUUUCACUACAUGAUCAUAUCACACUUCAUUCUUGAAAGAACCUUGGCUGACAGUAAUUAACAUAGAGAUUCAACAAAUAGUGUCGCCCGAUAAAUUUUUGAUAAUUUUGGAAUGCCAUAUUACUUUGGAAAGAUCCACUUGGAAGAAAUAUCUGUAAGCGGCUUGAAAAAUAGCAACUAACUAACUAGUGAAAUAAAGGUAAAAACUUGGCAAGUCUAAUGAAAGUUCAGCAGCUAUAACAUCCACCUAAAUUUAUGAAUCCAUACGAAAAACAUUAGCUAACAACUUCACAUGAAUCCAUGAUUUACAAAAUUGAACUCGUUAAUCUUAAAAUUGUCACUAAACAGAUAAAGAGAGGCACAAAUAUUCUCAAUCUGUUAUAUCAAAACAGAGUUUGGCCUCAUCCCGAGGACCGUUAAUCUCGAAUUUGUAUUCCUGAGUUCAUAUAAGCCAGUACGGACAAUCCACAUUCACAAAAACCAACAUACCUAAAAACAACACAAAAAGAGUAACCGAUGCAGCAUAUGAACAUCAAGCUACAAGCUUCUUUCCUACCAUUUGGUUCUUAUGAAGUUUUAUUAGAUGGUGUUUGGGCAUAACAGUCCAACCGACAGAUCUAGAUUCAAAUGAAUGAAUGCCACGGAAAGUCGCCGAUGAGCUGGCUUAAAAACCUCAAUUUGUUGCCACUGUAUUCUAUUAUGAGGGUGAAAAGUCGAGGACGUGUAGGAUUGGGAUGUCUCUGUCUGUAUGUAUAAACUACACGCAUGUUGCUGGUGGGUCUAUGCAGAGAAUUAAUUGCUGCCACUGACUUGUUGUCUUUUGCCACCAAAUUUUUCAAUCAACUGACGAAUGCGGGAGCUUGGUAAAUUUCUAAUAAUAUUCAUUUGGUGGUCCAGCGCAGAAGAUAUUAACUUGUCAGAUGUAACCAAGUACUUCCUUAGUUUUCCCAAUUCUCUCCUAUUCAGAUAAGCGGGAAAAAAAAAAAAAAAGGCUCAUCAUAGUACAAAUCUACUAGGAGAGACGAUCAUGACAAGUUUAAAGAAUCCUAUGAAAAGUUUACAUAUGAAGACAAUCAUGCUCAAAUUUGUGGAUGAGUUGUUUGGGGGAUAAAAGAGGCAGCAUGAUUGAAUACGAUUUCGUGCAAAUCAUGCUCUCCUCGACAUUAUAGUUAACAGCUGGCCUCCUCGAGUUGUGAUUUAUAGAAGCUCCUAAGCAAUCUGCUUUAGUCAUUACGUAGCAGGUAGGUCGCUCUACAGUUUUGCUCGCACAAGGAUCUCACGAGGAGAGACUCAAACCAAGUAACCUAAACACUCGGUCAUGAGUCAACUUGAGAAUUCUAGGGUCUAGUGAUGAGUAUAAUAUAUAUAUAUAUUUUACCUUUUAUUAGAUAAUUGUUAGUUAUUUUUAUUUAUUAUUUUUAAUUAAUUGAAUUAUUUUAUUGAAUAGGAGAUUAAUUGGAGAUUAUGAAUGAAAAGUACAAAAAGAAUAAUAAUUAGACAGCAUUAAAGAUCAAAUCAAUUUGUGGAAGCAAUUAAGCAUAUGUGCAUGAUAUUCAAGAUGAAGAAACCGAAGCCAAUAAAUUAAAUCAGUCAUGCUCAUGCAAACCAAGAAGACGUUUAAAGCUAAAGCUCUAAAAGACAUUAUUAAUUGGCCAUGUGCUUUUAAGUCAAACAAGUGGCUUGCUUUCAAACAUUAAUGAGGAAACAAUUAAAAAUAGGCUUGGUGAGCAGGUGAGUGAAGCCAAAACAAAUUAAAAGGCCAAACCUUUUGAAGACUAAGGGUGCGUUGGAGAUUGAGGUGUUGUAGUUUAAAAGCUACAGUUGUUGUGGAAAAAAAGUUGUGACUAUGAAAUAAAAAUUAAUAAUAUGUAGUAAAUAUAAAUUUUAAAUAAUAAUUUUGACAAAAUUAUUAAAGAUAUAAUAGAUUUUUCAUUUUAUAAGUGAAAAAUUAUAUUAACAUAGCUUCCAAGUUACAGCAGCUAGUGUUUUGCAAACACUUUAGUAUUGUACUUUAAAAGCUACAGCUGCCUAACCUCAAUCUCAAACGCACCCUAAAUAUAAAAGUAAGCUUUUGGCUUUUGGAGAAGGGGAGCAGCCGCCAGGAAGAAAAAGAAGCAGAUGCGAUUCGGGAGAGACAGGAGCGGCAGCAACUGUUCAAUUUUUCCCAUGGCUGGGUUUAUUUUAUUUGUUGCUCUCAAUUCAAGUAUGUCUAGCUAAUUUUCUUAUACUGAGGUUAAGGAUGAAACCAUAUUUAAUGAAAUAAUUAUCUUUUUAUUUAAUUAAUUCCCUAUAUAUGUGCUUUAAUGUUUAUGGUUCUUGUUUCACAUGAUUAAUUGGAUGUUAUUAAAAUCUUUUCAUCAAUUCUGUCAUGCAUUAUUGAUUGUUAGGAUUAAUAUUCUAUUAAAUCUAUGCUUGGAUCUAUAAAGUUUAUACAUGAUUAUCUUUGAUUUUAUGUCUUUCAUUAAAUUGUUUACAUAGAGUGCUUAGGAAAACUUUGACUCCCUGUUAUUCAAUAUGUUUACAUGGGAUGCUUAGAUGUCAUACUAUUAAGUAGAAAAAGAACCUACAUUAGAUUUAAUUACUUGGGUGUAAUUGUUAUAUUCAUGAGAUGAUAUAGAUUGAUUUCGAGUUGUCACUCUAAAAUUGGAGAUUAAUUAAUAAUUAGAUAAUUAUUAGUUGAAUAGUGGUGGAUUAUGAAACCUUGGUAAUUUUGUCUUAUUGAAUUCUCAUUUGCUUUAAUUGUUUUCUUAGUUUAAUUAGUAUAAUUUUCUUUAAAAAACUCAAUUUGCCCAACUAGGUUAGGAUUAAUAUUAAUUUUAGAUUUAAAUUAGACUUUUCAAUUCGUAGCAAUCUCUGUAGGUUUAACCUCGUUACCAUUAUUCUAUCUCUAAAUUCGUGCGCUUGUGAGUAUAUUAAAAUUUUUCACAACAUCUCGGUCCUCUAUAAGAACUCUAGAAAAUUUAAAAUCAAGUAAGUUUUCUCUGACUUACAGGACCUCUGGACUUUCUCUCUUUUCCAACUUUUUCUCAUAUUUACUUUAAAAGUAAUUUUCGAAAGCAUUUGGAAUUAAGUCACAAGAGCUGUGGCAUAAGUUUUUCCUUAAAGACCUAAUUUUUUACUUGAACGUCGAAGAGUUCACGCUGGAAGACACAUCUAAUGUCCCACUAACUGUUUUUGUGAACGCAAGUGUAUUUCAAGUGCUCGUGGUUGCUUGCAUUUGCUCGAAGAAAGGAAGUGCGAGCAAGUAUCGUCUCCCAUAAAAACAAAUUUAAGUAUUGGUGUAAACACCUGCUCGCAACAACAUGGACCAGAUUUUUGCAUCUAACAUGAGCCAUAGAAAAUAAAACAAUAUUCAGUUUCUUGAUGCUAAAUGGCAUUAGCAAGUCAAGGAUCCUUUGUAAUACGAAGACAUUCAUCCUCAAAUUCUAAUUCAGCAAAUAUUUGCUUUGUCCUUAAUAUAAAUGCAUUUGGAAAGUUGCUCUCUUUCUCACCUGACGAUCCUCUUGCUACCAUAGGUUAAAAAAAGAAAAAAAAAGAAAAAAAAAGUUUUAAGAGUAGCUUUCAGUCCCAGAAUUAUUUGAGAGGCCUACUUUUCCCAGAAUUAUUUGAGAGGCUGCUGUUUGACUCAGUCAAUAAUUGCUCCUAUUGAUCUCCAUCGUCCAAUUGGAAUUUCAGUAGUGAGGCAGGAUUGAUGCUUCCAAAAUGAAGAGUAUUAAAAAAGGAAGCAAGAUUAUUUUCACCUUGUUUUCUUCGAACAUUCCAGGCAAGUCGGUCCUUUUUUUUUAUUUUGCUUUUUUUUUUCCUUCGAUUUUUCUCUUGAUCUCCACCAUCAAUUUGUUCUUUUCUUCCAACUUUUCUCUUGAUAACUUCAUCAGCGUACAUUAUACGCUUGUGUUUAAAAGGUUCAGUAGGCUUGCGACUGUGAACUGAAGCAGCAAACUGAGUGCAAACCACACUGUUUUUUAGGCAGAAAACGCGCAGGGGAACAGUGAGUACAGCAUGAUGUACAUCUCCCAAUUUGAGAUAUAAGAUCCCCUCUGUUUCAGCCCUGGCUUUGUAGCCAACACCUUCAAUCUUCAAAAGCCAAAAAAAAUUGGCUUCCAUCCCAGUUAAAGUAAAUUUAUCGUGUAAAUUUCCUCAAUAGCCGUCAUAGCAAGUGCUUGGAACCCCAGGUAAAUCAGUCCUUACAAUAGCUUUACCAAAAAAAAGAAAAAUUGAAAGACAUUGAUGUUUUCAAUGCCAAUGAAUUGUACAUGCAUAGCACGUCUAUACAAGUAUAGAAGAAGCUUUUAGUAUGUAUUUCAAAUGUCAUACCAAUUCAAGUCGGUGACAAGAAUCAUGGGAGCAUUCACAGGCAUCAUUUUGAUGAUCCUCUCUAUUUUACUCUUGGUCUUGUCUGCCGCCUCAGCAUCUAUGUUAAGAGAUCGUAAAACGUAUAUUAUCCACAUGGACAAGUCGGCAAUGCCAGCUCCAUUUUCCACCCACCACCACUGGUACAUGUCCAUUCUUUCAUCCCUUUCUUCACCUGAUGGUGAUGCCCCAACCCAUCUCUACACCUACAACCAUGUCAUGGAUGGAUUCAGUGGCGUGUUAUCGCAGACGCACCUCGACAAACUCCAGAAAAUGCCAGGUCACCUUGCCACGUACCAGGAAACAUUUGGCCACCUGCACACCACCCACACCCCAAAAUUUCUCGGCCUAAAGAAACAAGCUGGGUUAUGGCCAGCUGCAGGUUUUGGUAGUCACGUUAUUGUGGGUGUUAUUGAUACUGGAGUUUGGCCAGAGAGUCCGAGCUUUAAAGAUGACGGCAUGCCUCCAGUGCCUGAGCGAUGGCGCGGUGCCUGUGAAGUGGGUGUUGAGUUUAAUGCUUCUCAUUGCAACAGAAAACUGAUAGGAGCACGCUCAUUCAGCAAAGGGCUGAAGCACUAUGGCUUGAACAUAUCAACAACAUUUGAGUAUGAUUCUCCGAGAGAUUUCUUGGGUCAUGGGACUCAUACAUCAUCAACAAUAGCCGGCAGUCGUGUUCAAAAUGCUAAUUACUUCGGCUACGCUGAAGGCUGACGAUCCUCUUGCUACCAUAGGUUAAAAAAAGAAAAAAAAAGAAAAAAAAAGUUUUAAGAGUAGCUUUCAGUCCCAGAAUUAUUUGAGAGGCCUACUUUUCCCAGAAUUAUUUGAGAGGCUGCUGUUUGACUCAGUCAAUAAUUGCUCCUAUUGAUCUCCAUCGUCCAAUUGGAAUUUCAGUAGUGAGGCAGGAUUGAUGCUUCCAAAAUGAAGAGUAUUAAAAAAGGAAGCAAGAUUAUUUUCACCUUGUUUUCUUCGAACAUUCCAGGCAAGUCGGUCCUUUUUUUUUAUUUUGCUUUUUUUUUUCCUUCGAUUUUUCUCUUGAUCUCCACCAUCAAUUUGUUCUUUUCUUCCAACUUUUCUCUUGAUAACUUCAUCAGCGUACAUUAUACGCUUGUGUUUAAAAGGUUCAGUAGGCUUGCGACUGUGAACUGAAGCAGCAAACUGAGUGCAAACCACACUGUUUUUUAGGCAGAAAACGCGCAGGGGAACAGUGAGUACAGCAUGAUGUACAUCUCCCAAUUUGAGAUAUAAGAUCCCCUCUGUUUCAGCCCUGGCUUUGUAGCCAACACCUUCAAUCUUCAAAAGCCAAAAAAAAUUGGCUUCCAUCCCAGUUAAAGUAAAUUUAUCGUGUAAAUUUCCUCAAUAGCCGUCAUAGCAAGUGCUUGGAACCCCAGGUAAAUCAGUCCUUACAAUAGCUUUACCAAAAAAAAGAAAAAUUGAAAGACAUUGAUGUUUUCAAUGCCAAUGAAUUGUACAUGCAUAGCACGUCUAUACAAGUAUAGAAGAAGCUUUUAGUAUGUAUUUCAAAUGUCAUACCAAUUCAAGUCGGUGACAAGAAUCAUGGGAGCAUUCACAGGCAUCAUUUUGAUGAUCCUCUCUAUUUUACUCUUGGUCUUGUCUGCCGCCUCAGCAUCUAUGUUAAGAGAUCGUAAAACGUAUAUUAUCCACAUGGACAAGUCGGCAAUGCCAGCUCCAUUUUCCACCCACCACCACUGGUACAUGUCCAUUCUUUCAUCCCUUUCUUCACCUGAUGGUGAUGCCCCAACCCAUCUCUACACCUACAACCAUGUCAUGGAUGGAUUCAGUGGCGUGUUAUCGCAGACGCACCUCGACAAACUCCAGAAAAUGCCAGGUCACCUUGCCACGUACCAGGAAACAUUUGGCCACCUGCACACCACCCACACCCCAAAAUUUCUCGGCCUAAAGAAACAAGCUGGGUUAUGGCCAGCUGCAGGUUUUGGUAGUCACGUUAUUGUGGGUGUUAUUGAUACUGGAGUUUGGCCAGAGAGUCCGAGCUUUAAAGAUGACGGCAUGCCCCCAGUGCCUGAGCGAUGGCGCGGCGCCUGUGAAGUGGGUGUUGAGUUUAACGCUUCACAUUGCAACAGAAAACUGAUAGGUGCACGUUCAUUCAACAAAGGGUUGAAGCAGUAUGGCUUGAAAAUAUCAACAACAUUUGAUUAUGAUUCUCCGAGAGAUUUCUUCGGUCAUGGGACUCAUACAUCAUCAACAAUAGCCGGCAGUCGUGUUCAAAAUGCUAAUUACUUCGGCUACGCUGAAGGGACUGCAAUUGGAGUUGCACCAAUGGCGAGGAUUGCAAUGUACAAAAUAGCGUUCUACAAUGAUACUCUUAAGGCAGCAGCUGUUGAUGUUUUGGCUGGCAUGGAUCAAGCCAUAGCUGACGGUGUAGAUGUCAUGUCAUUGUCCCUGGCUUUCCCAGAGACAACAUUUGAUGAGAACCCAAUAGCCAUUGGAGCUUUUGCAGCAUUGAAGAAAGGAAUUUUUGUUGCCUGUGCAGCAGGAAAUUCAGGACCACGUCCAUACUCCAUACUAAAUGGAGCACCUUGGAUUACUACAGUUGCUGCAGGAACUGUUGACAGAGAGUUUGCAGCCUACGUCACCCUUGGCAAUGAAGAGCUAUCAGUUCUUGGAAAAUCUGUGUACCCGGAGAAUCUGUUUGUCUCCAGGGAACCUAUAUACUUCGGAUAUGGAAAUAGAUCCAAAGAAAUUUGUGAAGGUAACUCAACAGACCCUAGAGCAGUUGCAGGCAAAUAUAUCUUUUGUGCAUUUGACUAUAAAGGUAACAUAACCGUAAGUCAGCAAUUGAAGGAAGUGCGCAGAACUAGAGCCGCCGGAGCUAUCAUCAGUGCAGACUCAAGGCAAAAUCUGUUUCCCGACAACUUUGACAUGCCUUUCGUUACAGUAAACCUGAAUAACGGAGAGUUAGUGAAGAAGUACAUAAUCAAUGCGGAUAAUGCAACGGUUAGUAUCAAGUUCCAGAUCACGAUAUUGGGCACCAAGCCAUCUCCACAAGUAGCCAAUUUUUCAUCACGAGGGCCUUCUCUUCGAUCUCCAUGGAUUCUAAAACCUGAUAUAUUGGCUCCAGGAGUUGAUAUCUUGGGGGCAUGGGUUCCCAACAGGCCUAUAGCUACAAUUCGUGAUCUUGGUAAGCUGCUCACCUGUGCAAUGAACUACACUAGUCAACAGAUUCGAAUUGUCACAGGGACAUCGGAUUUUACAUGUGAGCAUGGCAAUCUGGAUCUUAAUUAUCCAUCAUUUAUCAUCAUCUUGAACAACAGCAACACUGCUAGCUUCACCUUCAAGAGGGUAUUGACAAAUGUAGCCGAUACCAGGUCAACUUAUACUGCAGCAGUGAAGGCUCCAGUGGGUAUGACAGUGACUCUGGAACCAGCAACAUUAUCCUUUGCCGGAAAGUUUAGCAAAGCUGAGUUCAAUUUGACUGUGAACAUUAAUCUGGGAAAUGCUUUUAGUCCCAAAAGUAACUUUCUUGGAAAUUUUGGGUAUUUGACAUGGUAUGAAGUUAAAGGAAAGCAUACGGUGAGAAGCCCCAUUGUCGCUGCUUUGCUAAUAAUUCUAGAGGAGUGACAAUAGUUGAAAAUAUAGCAUAGACAACAGUAGAAAGAAUUCAAGUAAUAAACGACUCUUGGCAAAUAGAAAUCCAUCUUAUGCAGAGUUUGUUAUUCGGACUUCCUGUUAAUGUUGCAAGAAAUGACUAGAUGCUUCAUAAUAGUCUUGAGAAUUUCGUCCAAAAUAUUUCAAGAAAUGUUUUAGGAAAAUAUUAAGGAAGGUUACUGUGAUAUUCAAUAUUUUUAGAAUAAUUUGGAUAUACUUAUAUUUUUGUCGAAAUGGCGGUAAAAGAGUUUUUUUUUUUUUUUAACUUUACUAUUUGUAUCAUUAACGAUUUCAGAUCAUUUUGCAAACGAAUCAACCAAUAGUGGCUAAAUCUUAGGCUGCUGGCCAGCAAAAUGAAUUAAUGAAAAUAAACAUCAGACCUAGCCAUGAUCAGUCAAUUUAGCGUUUGAUUUAUUAUGUGUUUCAGUUGAAACAUCAUGUACAUACAUACACAUGCAGGCAAAGAAAGCUCCCACUUAUCUGGUGGAAAAACUGCAAAACUAGAAGACACUUGAAUUUACUUGCAGAUAAGACAAAGAAAGAGAUUGAUGUUUUUUCACAUUUCACGUGAGUCUUUAGAUUAUAUAUAAAGGAAUGGUUAGGAUUAAAUUAAUUAAAUAAAAAGUAACAUUUGUUUCUUCUAUUUAUUAUUUUUCUCUCCUCUACUUCCUUUUUUUUUCUUGUUGGGUCUUCCGUCUCACUUUCCCUCUGUUCUUUAAUUUUUACCAUGACCAUAGACAAAGGGACGUGUGAUUUGAAUGUUUGUCGACGAGGGAACAAUCAAUUUUCAUAUUUCUUUAAAUUUUUAAGGCGAAAUAAACUUUAAUUUCAUUUGAUGACUCUGGUUUGGUAAAAAAUUGUGCAAGAGAAAUUUAUGCAAGUUCAAAGCAACUAUAAUAUAGUUAAGGGAAAUCAAGAGUAAUUAGGGGUGGCUUGAAGUAGAAACAAAUAAGCCGAUUGCCUAAGGUCCCAAAUUUUAGGAAAACCUAUUAGAUAUCUCUCUAAUUAAUAAUUAACAUGUAAUUAGGAUUUUUUUAAAUUAAAACAAUUUGUAUUUGGUAACCUUAUUGUUAAAGCGAUAUAAUUAAUAAUAUUGUCUAACCAUUAAUUCAUUCAUUAUUAGUUUUUGCAAAAAAUAAAUAAAUUUUUUACCUUUUCGGUUUCUUAAAUAAGCUUAAUUAUUUAACAUUAGAAUUUUUGACUUUUAGCAUUUCUUUUAAUUUCUAUUAAAAACCUUAUAAUCUAAAAAAAAUCAUAGAUGAAAAAAUUUCUUACUCUACAAGGAAAAUUAUUACAUGCAUUAGUUCAUUCAAAAAAAAAAUUUCUUAAAAUACAAAGUUCAUAUCCAUUAUCUGAUCAUCAAUUUAUUAUCUUAACUUUAUAUAUGCUACUAUUCUAAAUAUUCUAUUUCAAAAUAGUAUUGUUCUCAUUUAUUUAUUUGUUUAUUUUUGUAAAACAUUUGAAGCAAGUAAAUUUUAGGUUUUUUUUAAAAAAAUUUUUAGGAUCUUCUUGAUUAUUUGUUGAAAUUCAAAAAUAAAGAUGAAAUAAAUUUUGAGCUCUUUUAUUUAAUUAUUUUUUUGAGUUUUGAAGUUGUUAGAACAAAAAAAAGCCCCAUAAAAUAAGUUCACCUAAGGGCUUAGAUACUCUACGCUGGCCCAGAAAGAGUUAUGAGUAGAGGCGAGAGGAAAAAAAAAUGUAAAGAUGGCCAUGAAGAUCGUUGAAGAGAAAAAGAAGAUGAUUAAACAAAAUUAAUAGAAUAUUUAAUACGUCCCAUUAAUCUCCACCGUUCAUUUAUCUAUAAUCUAAAAACUCACAAGGAGUGUAAACAACAGUGUAAUUUUAAGCGGCCACUGAUAUGCCUUGAUAUAUGUAAAUUGAUCUCAAUUAAAAGAAAAAAAAUUUGCAAAAUCCAAUCUGUUUUUUCUUUUUUUCUUUUUUGUUAAUAAUAAGAAUUAGCUAAUAGAGUAAUCACUCCACAAACAAGUGUACAUGACUGCAAACAUUUUUGAGUAAGUUUUUUUAAUAAGAAAUAAAAAGAAAAUUACAGAGUAUGCCUAAGCUUUUCUUCAAAUUUAUAUACUAUGAGCAACACUUUUUUACCUUCCUUGUUCUUUAAUUUAUAGUUCAACACUAUUAAUAUUUUUUUUCUUUUCCUUUUUUACAGAAGAAAGGCUCGAGAGAAGAAUAAGUAGGAAAGAGAGAAACAAGGAAAAAUAUUAAAAGACAAAAAUAAGAGAGAAAAUAUAAUAGAAUGAAUAUAUAAUAUUUGGUGGGGGCUAAAAUUUAGUAAUUUUUCUUAAAAAAGAAAUCCACAUGUAUAAUAAUUUUAACCAUUGAAUUGAUUAGGAUUUAAAGGUUGAGAUUUUGUGUCAAAAUUUAUAGGAAAAAAAAAAAGGACUCUCAAAUCCUAUCCCAUAAUGUUGUAGGAUGGGAAUUACUUUUAGGAGGCUCAAAAGUGACUUUAAAAAGAUAAAAAACGAAUUUUGAUAUUUGUAUUUUUUUUUAAAUCACUUUAGUAAAAUCAUCUCAUCCUACAAUAGAUUUGAAAAGUAUGGAAUGAGUAACUUUCAAAAUCUGAUUUUGAGAUUUAGUUUUAUAUCUUAUAUGAUUUCAUAUAUAUCCUCAUAAAUAUUAAAAAAAUCCAAAAUUAUCCUUAUUAAUUAGGAAAUAAAAUUAUUAACUUUAAAGAGAUUUUUUGUACUACCAAUUAUAUUGAGAUAACAAAAUAAAAAUAAAAUUAAUAGUAUAAAAUAUUUAUUUUAGUUAUCAAAUAUUUUAGAUACACAACAGAAAAAUAUUUUAUAUGCUUAUUUAUAAAUGUAUAAAUAAGUUUUAUUUAAUGUUAUAUAUAAUUCAGUCAUUUUUAUUUUUACUACAAUUUAAAAAUAUACAAGAUUCACCAAACAAAUAUGAUUGCUUUUAAUACUCACAAUACUUUUAAAAUUAAAUUUUAUCAAAUAUUUAACUGAUUAACUUCACAACUGAUUAUUUUUACAACACAGACAAUAUCAAUUAUUUUCAAAGUUACGACAUAUGCAAACUGACCCUAAGAAAAAUAGCCCAAAAUAACUUUUAGAAAUUAGAUUUUUUUGAUAAUAUAAUUUUAUAAUUUACAAUACCAAAAAUAACCUUAUUUGUUAUACAUAUUUUUGAAAAUACCCAUUAGGGUUGUUAAAAAUACCCACCUUGCUUGAAUCCAGGCAAGACCGGGGCAAUGUUGGCAAGGUACUACCCGACCUGGGAUGAGGCUGGCCAGUCUUGGCCAUCAGUUGAUAAGCCCAAGGUCCAGCUUGGAACCUAAAUUUUAUAAAUAAAAAAUUAUUAAAUAUUAUAUUAUUUUAAAUAAUAUAUAUAUUUGACUCAUCUAUUACAUAUAUUUAAAACCUUAAACAUUUAAAGUUCAUAUUUUUAUGUCCAAUUUCAUUAAAAAAAAUUAAAAAUUACAAAAUUAUAAAAUAAAUUAAAAACAUAUACAUAUAAUAUUAUAAAAUAAAAAAUCUGCCUNNNNNNNNNNNNNNNNNNNNNNNNNNNNNNNNNNNNNNNNNNNNNNNNNNNNNNNNNNNNNNNNNNNNNNNNNNNNNNNNNNNNNNNNNNNNNNNNNNNNNNNNNNNNNNNNNNNNNNNNNNNNNNNNNNNNNNNNNNNNNNNNNNNNNNNNNNNNNNNNNNNNNNNNNNNNNNNNNNNNNNNNNNNNNNNNNNNNNNNNNNNNNNNNNNNNNNNNNNNNNNNNNNNNNNNNNNNNNNNNNNNNNNNNNNNNNNNNNNNNNNNNNNNNNNNNNNNNNNNNNNNNNNNNNNNNNNNNNNNNNNNNNNNNNNNNNNNNNNNNNNNNNNNNNNNNNNNNNNNNNNNNNNNNNNNNNNNNNNNNNNNNNNNNNNNNNNNNNNNNNNNNNNNNNNNNNNNNNNNNNNNNNNNNNNNNNNNNNNNNNNNNNNNNNNNNNNNNNNNNNNNNNNNNNNNNNNNNNNNNNNNNNNNNNNNNNNNNNNNNNNNNNNNNNNNNNNNNNNNNNNNNNNNNNNNNNNNNNNNNNNNNNNNNNNNNNNNNNNNNNNNNNNNNNNNNNNNNNNNNNNNNNNNNNNNNNNNNNNNNNNNNNNNNNNNNNNNNNNNNNNNNNNNNNNNNNNNNNNNNNNNNNNNNNNNNNNNNNNNNNNNNNNNNNNNNNNNNNNNNNNNNNNNNNNNNNNNNNNNNNNNNNNNNNNNNNNNNNNNNNNNNNNNNNNNNNNNNNNNNNNNNNNNNNNNNNNNNNNNNNNNNNNNNNNNNNNNNNNNNNNNNNNNNNNNNNNNNNNNNNNNNNNNNNNNNNNNNNNNNNNNNNNNNNNNNNNNNNNNNNNNNNNNNNNNNNNNNNNNNNNNNNNNNNNNNNNNNNNNNNNNNNNNNNNNNNNNNNNNNNNNNNNNNNNNNNNNNNNNNNNNNNNNNNNNNNNNNNNNNNNNNNNNNNNNNNNNNNNNNNNNNNNNNNNNNNNNNNNNNNNNNNNNNNNNNNNNNNNNNNNNNNNNNNNNNNNNNNNNNNNNNNNNNNNNNNNNNNNNNNNNNNNNNNNNNNNNNNNNNNNNNNNNNNNNNNNNNNNNNNNNNNNNNNNNNNNNNNNNNNNNNNNNNNNNNNNNNNNNNNNUCCAUUUUUGUUUAUCAAGGUUGGGAAAUGGUUUUUCAUUAUAAAUAUUUAAAACAAAUAAAUUGAAUAGUACAACUUCUCAGAGGUUCUCACUACAUGAAUUAUCCAAGAUUAUUCCCUCAAUGCUGCUAUAAUUAAGCUUGCCCCAAUCAUUAUACAUCUUUACAAAAUUUUAAAGAGAUCUAACGGAUCUUUUUUCCUCAAAUUCCUCUUUGGCCUUAUUCUAUCUUCCCCACUCUCCCCGUUCUACUUUUGGAAGACCAUGCGUUAUAUCACCAGGUCUCGAUUAUGGAAUUCAUGAAAUCCUAAUCAUUGCAAGUAACUUAUAAUGCAUGUUUCUGAUUCAUCCUUGGAGAAUUAUUAGAUAACCAAAAUUUUAAUGCAACUUUAAGCAUCAUUUGUUUAUUUUUAUGGUCAAUGGAAUAUUCAAUAAAUAAAUGUUUCACUACAUGAUCAUAUCACACUUCAUUCUUGAAAGAACCUUGGCUGACAGUAAUUAACAUAGAGAUUCAACAAAUAGUGUCGCCCGAUAAAUUUUUGAUAAUUUUGGAAUGCCAUAUUACUUUGGAAAGAUCCACUUGGAAGAAAUAUCUGUAAGCGGCUUGAAAAAUAGCAACUAACUAACUAGUGAAAUAAAGGUAAAAACUUGGCAAGUCUAAUGAAAGUUCAGCAGCUAUAACAUCCACCUAAAUUUAUGAAUCCAUACGAAAAACAUUAGCUAACAACUUCACAUGAAUCCAUGAUUUACAAAAUUGAACUCGUUAAUCUUAAAAUUGUCACUAAACAGAUAAAGAGAGGCACAAAUAUUCUCAAUCUGUUAUAUCAAAACAGAGUUUGGCCUCAUCCCGAGGACCGUUAAUCUCGAAUUUGUAUUCCUGAGUUCAUAUAAGCCAGUACGGACAAUCCACAUUCACAAAAACCAACAUACCUAAAAACAACACAAAAAGAGUAACCGAUGCAGCAUAUGAACAUCAAGCUACAAGCUUCUUUCCUACCAUUUGGUUCUUAUGAAGUUUUAUUAGAUGGUGUUUGGGCAUAACAGUCCAACCGACAGAUCUAGAUUCAAAUGAAUGAAUGCCACGGAAAGUCGCCGAUGAGCUGGCUUAAAAACCUCAAUUUGUUGCCACUGUAUUCUAUUAUGAGGGUGAAAAGUCGAGGACGUGUAGGAUUGGGAUGUCUCUGUCUGUAUGUAUAAACUACACGCAUGUUGCUGGUGGGUCUAUGCAGAGAAUUAAUUGCUGCCACUGACUUGUUGUCUUUUGCCACCAAAUUUUUCAAUCAACUGACGAAUGCGGGAGCUUGGUAAAUUUCUAAUAAUAUUCAUUUGGUGGUCCAGCGCAGAAGAUAUUAACUUGUCAGAUGUAACCAAGUACUUCCUUAGUUUUCCCAAUUCUCUCCUAUUCAGAUAAGCGGGAAAAAAAAAAAAAAAGGCUCAUCAUAGUACAAAUCUACUAGGAGAGACGAUCAUGACAAGUUUAAAGAAUCCUAUGAAAAGUUUACAUAUGAAGACAAUCAUGCUCAAAUUUGUGGAUGAGUUGUUUGGGGGAUAAAAGAGGCAGCAUGAUUGAAUACGAUUUCGUGCAAAUCAUGCUCUCCUCGACAUUAUAGUUAACAGCUGGCCUCCUCGAGUUGUGAUUUAUAGAAGCUCCUAAGCAAUCUGCUUUAGUCAUUACGUAGCAGGUAGGUCGCUCUACAGUUUUGCUCGCACAAGGAUCUCACAAGGAGAGACUCAAACCAAGUCAACCUAAACACUCGGUCAUGAGUCAACUUGAGAUUUUAGGGUCUAGUGAUGAGUAUAAUUUAUAUAUAUUUUUUAACUUUUAUUAUAUAAUUGUUAGUUAUUUUUAUUUAUUAUUUUUAAUUAAUUGAAUUAUUUUAUUGAAUAGGAGAUUAAUUGGAGAUUAUGAAUGAAAAGUACAAAAAGAAUAAUAAUUAGACAGCAUUAAAGAUCAAAUCAAUUUGUGGAAGCAAUUAAGCAUAUGUGCAUGAUAUUCAAGAUGAAGAAACCGAAGCCAAUAAAUUAAAUCAGUCAUGCUCAUGCAAACCAAGAAGACGUUUAAAGCUAAAGCUCUAAAAGACAUUAUUAAUUGGCCAUGUGCUUUUAAGUCAAACAAGUGGCUUGCUUUCAAACAUUAAUGAGGAAACAAUUAAAAAUAGGCUUGGUGAGCAGGUGAGUGAAGCCAAAACAAAUUAAAAGGCCAAACCUUUUGAUUUUAGAGUUGGAAAAGUUGGUGGGGCUCAUUUUAAAGACUAAGGGUGCGUUGGAGAUUGAGGUGUUGUAGCUUAAAAGCUACAGUUGUUAGUUGAAUAGUGGUGGAUUCUGAAACCUUGGUAAUUUUGUCUUAUUGAAUUCUCAUUUGCUUUAAUUGUUUUCUUAGUUUAAUUAGUUUAAUUUUCUUAAAAAAAAACUCAAUUUGCCCAACUAGGUUAGGAUUAAUAUUAAUUUUAAAUUUAAAUUAGACUUUUCAAUUCGUAACAAUCUCUGUAGGUUUAACCUCGUUACCAUUAUUCUAUCUCUAAAUUCGUGCGCUUGCGAGUAUAUUAAAAUUUUUCAAUAAUUUUGAUAAAAUUAUUAAAGAUAUAAUAGAUUUUUCACUAUACAAGUGAAAAAUUAUAUUAACAUAGCUUCCAAGUUACAAUAGCUAGUGUUUUCCAAACACUUUAGUACUGUACUUUAAAAGUUACAGCUGCCUAACAUCAAUCUCAAUCGCACCCUAAAUAUAAAAGCAAGCUUUUGGCUUUUGGAGAAGGGGAGCAGCCGCCAGGAAGAAAAAGAAGCAGACACGAUUCGGGAGAGACAGGAGCGACAGCAACUGUUCAAUUUUUCCCAUGGCUGGAUUUAUUUUAUUUGUUGCUCCUAAUUCAAGUAUGUCUAGCUAAUUUUUUUAUACUGAGGUUAAGGAUGAAACCAUAUUUAAUGAAAUAAUUAUCUUUUUAUUUAAUUAAUUCCCUAUAUAUGUGCUUUAAUGUUUAUGGUUCUUGUUUCACAUGAUUAAUUGGAUGUUAUUAAAAUCUUUUCAUCAAUUCUGUCAUGCAUUAUUGAUUGUUAUGAUUAAUAUUCGAUUAAAUCUAUGCUUGGAUCUAUAAAGUUUAUACAUGAUUAUCUUUGAUUUUAUGUCUUUCAUUAAAUUGUUUACAUAGAGUGCUUAGGAAAACUUUGACUUUCUGUUAUUCAAUAUGUUUACAUGGGAUGCUUAGAUGUCAUACUAUGAAGUAGAAAAAGAACAUACAUUAGAUUUAAUUACUUGGGUUUAAUUGUUAUAUUCAUGAGAUGAUAUAAAUUGAUUUCGAGUUGUCACUCUAAAAUUAGAGAUUAAUUAAUAAUUAGAUAAUUAUUAGUUGAAUAGUGGUGGAUUCUGAAACCUUGGUAAUUUUGUCUUAUUGAAUUCUCAUUUGCUUUAAUUGUUUUCUUAGUUUAAUUAGUUUAAUUUUCUUAAAAAAAAACUCAAUUUGCCCAACUAGGUUAGGAUUAAUAUUAAUUUUAAAUUUAAAUUAGACUUUUCAAUUCGUAACAAUCUCUGUAGGUUUAACCUCGUUACCAUUAUUCUAUCUCUAAAUUCGUGCGCUUGCGAGUAUAUUAAAAUUUUUCACAUCUCGGUCCUCUAUAAGAACUCUAGAAAAUUUAAAAUCAAGAAAGUUUUCUCUGACUCAUAGGACCUCUGGACUUUCUCUCUUUUCCAACUUUUUCUCAUAUUUACUUUAAAAGUAAUUUUCGAAAGCAUUUGGAAUUAAGUUACAAGAGCUGUGGCAUAAGUUUUUUUCUAAAAGACCUAAUUUUUUACUUGAACGUCGAAGAGUUCACGCUGGAAGACACAUCUAAUGUCCCGCUAACUGUUUUUGUGAACGCAAGUGUAUUUCAAGUGCUCGUGGUUGCUUGCAUUUGCGCGAAGAAAGGAAGUGCGAGCAAGUAUCGUCUCCCAUAAAAACAAAUUUAAGUAUUGGUGUAGACACCUGCUCGCAACAACAUGGACCAGAUUUUUGCAUCUAACAUGAGUCAUAGAAAAUAAAACAAUAUUCAGUUCCUUGAUGCUAAAUGGCAUUAGCAAGUCAAGGAUCCUUUGUAAUACGAAGACAUUCAUCCUCAAAUUCUAAUUCAGCAAAUAUUUGCUUUGUCCUUAAUAUAAAUGCAUUUGGAAAGUUGCUCUCUUUCUCACCUGACGAUCCUCUUGCUACCAUAGGUUAAAAAAAGAAAAAAAAAGAAAAAAAAAGUUUUAAGAGUAGCUUUCAGUCCCAGAAUUAUUUGAGAGGCCUACUUUUCCCAGAAUUAUUUGAGAGGCUGCUGUUUGACUCAGUCAAUAAUUGCUCCUAUUGAUCUCCAUCGUCCAAUUGGAAUUUCAGUAGUGAGGCAGGAUUGAUGCUUCCAAAAUGAAGAGUAUUAAAAAAGGAAGCAAGAUUAUUUUCACCUUGUUUUCUUCGAACAUUCCAGGCAAGUCGGUCCUUUUUUUUUAUUUUGCUUUUUUUUUUCCUUCGAUUUUUCUCUUGAUCUCCACCAUCAAUUUGUUCUUUUCUUCCAACUUUUCUCUUGAUAACUUCAUCAGCGUACAUUAUACGCUUGUGUUUAAAAGGUUCAGUAGGCUUGCGACUGUGAACUGAAGCAGCAAACUGAGUGCAAACCACACUGUUUUUUAGGCAGAAAACGCGCAGGGGAACAGUGAGUACAGCAUGAUGUACAUCUCCCAAUUUGAGAUAUAAGAGCCCCUCUGUUUCAGCCCUGGCUUUGUAGCCAACACCUACAAUCUUCAAAAGCCAAAAAAAAUGGGCUUCCAUCCCAGUUAAAGUAAAUUUAUCGUGUAAAUUUCCUCAAUAGCCGUCAUAGCAAGUGCUUGGAACCCCAGGUAAAUCAGUCCUUACAAUAGCUUUACCAAAAAAAAGAAAAAUUGAAAGACAUUGAUGUUUUCAAUGCCAAUGAAUUGUACAUGCAUAGCACGUCUAUACAAGUAUAGAAGAAGCUUUUAGUAUGUAUUUCAAAUGUCAUACCAAUUCAAGUCGGUGACAAGAAUCAUGGGAGCAUUCACAGGCAUCAUUUUGAUGAUCCUCUCUAUUUUACUCUUGGUCUUGUCUGCCGCCUCAGCAUCUAUGUUAAGAGAUCGUAAAACGUAUAUUAUCCACAUGGACAAGUCGGCAAUGCCAGCUCCAUUUUCCACCCACCACCACUGGUACAUGUCCAUUCUUUCAUCCCUUUCUUCACCUGAUGGUGAUGCCCCAACCCAUCUCUACACCUACAACCAUGUCAUGGAUGGAUUCAGUGGCGUGUUAUCGCAGACGCACCUCGACAAACUCCAGAAAAUGCCAGGUCACCUUGCCACGUACCAGGAAACAUUUGGCCACCUGCACACCACCCACACCCCAAAAUUUCUCGGCCUAAAGAAACAAGCUGGGUUAUGGCCAGCUGCAGGUUUUGGUAGUCACGUUAUUGUGGGUGUUAUUGAUACUGGAGUUUGGCCAGAGAGUCCGAGCUUUAAAGAUGACGGCAUGCCUCCAGUGCCUGAGCGAUGGCGCGGUGCCUGUGAAGUGGGUGUUGAGUUUAAUGCUUCUCAUUGCAACAGAAAACUGAUAGGAGCACGCUCAUUCAGCAAAGGGCUGAAGCACUAUGGCUUGAACAUAUCAACAACAUUUGAGUAUGAUUCUCCGAGAGAUUUCUUGGGUCAUGGGACUCAUACAUCAUCAACAAUAGCCGGCAGUCGUGUUCAAAAUGCUAAUUACUUCGGCUACGCUGAAGGAACUGCAAUUGGAGUUGCACCAAUGGCGAGGAUUGCAAUGUACAAAAUAGCGUUCUACAAUGAUACUCUUAAGGCAGCAGCUGUUGAUGUUUUGGCUGGCAUGGAUCAAGCCAUAGCUGACGGUGUAGAUGUCAUGUCAUUGUCCCUGGGUUUCCCAGAGACAACAUUUGAUGAGAACCCAAUAGCCAUUGGAGCUUUUGCAGCAUUGAAGAAAGGAAUUUUUGUUGCCUGUUCAGCAGGAAAUUCAGGACCACGUCCAUACUCCAUACUAAAUGGAGCACCUUGGAUUACUACAGUUGCUGCAGGAACUGUUGACAGAGAGUUUGCAGCCUACGUCACCCUUGGCAAUGAAGAGCUAUCAGUUCUUGGAAAAUCUGUGUACCCGGAGAAUCUGUUUGUCUCCAGGGAACCUAUAUACUUCGGAUAUGGAAAUAGAUCCAAAGAAAUUUGUGAAGGUAACUCAACAGACCCUAGAGCAGUUGCAGGCAAAUAUAUCUUUUGUGCAUUUGACUAUAAAGGUAACAUAACCGUAAGUCAGCAAUUGAAGGAAGUGCGCAGAACUAGAGCCGCCGGAGCUAUCAUCAGUGCAGACUCAAGGCAAAAUCUGUUUCCCGACAACUUUGACAUGCCUUUCGUUACAGUAAACCUGAAUAACGGAGAGUUAGUGAAGAAGUACAUAAUCAAUGCGGAUAAUGCAACGGUUAGUAUCAAGUUCCAGAUCACGAUAUUGGGCACCAAGCCAUCUCCACAAGUAGCCAAUUUUUCAUCACGAGGGCCUUCUCUUCGAUCUCCAUGGAUUCUAAAACCUGAUAUAUUGGCUCCAGGAGUUGAUAUCUUGGGGGCAUGGGUUCCCAACAGGCCUAUAGCUACAAUUCGUGAUCUUGGUAAGCUACUCACCGAAUAUGCUCUCGAAUCCGGCACAUCAAUGUCUUGCCCUCAUGCAGCUGGUAUAGCCNN
Molecule: long non-coding RNA, 24136 nt
Filed under: Citrus sinensis (sweet orange)
Lineage: Eukaryota; Viridiplantae; Streptophyta; Magnoliopsida; Sapindales; Rutaceae
Description: long non-coding RNA (CSIN_LNC003342)
Source: RNAcentral